RNAcentral lists this transfer RNA (74 nucleotides) under Gemmataceae bacterium. Its description in RNAcentral is "tRNA-Leu". It matches the Rfam family "tRNA". Rfam says of the family: Transfer RNA (tRNA) molecules are approximately 80 nucleotides in length. RNAcentral also lists the same sequence under 1 other name. Lineage: Bacteria; Pseudomonadati; Planctomycetota; Planctomycetia; Gemmatales; Gemmataceae. The record is from RNAcentral.
GACUCGGUGCGCGAACCGGAAUAGCGGUCAGGUCGAGAGCCUGAUGUGUGUGGGUUCGACUCCCACCCGAGUCA